RNAcentral lists this ribosomal RNA (253 nucleotides) under uncultured bacterium. RNAcentral describes it as "partial 16S ribosomal RNA". It matches the Rfam family "Bacterial small subunit ribosomal RNA", at positions 524 to 776 of the family's 1533-position model. The record is from RNAcentral.
UACGUAGGGGGCUAGCGUUGUCCGGAAUCAUUGGGCGUAAAGAGCGUGUAGGCGGUCCGGUAAGUCCGCUGUGAAAGUCGGGGGCUCAACCCUCGAAUGCCGGUGGAUACUGUCGGGCUAGAGUGCGGAAGAGGCGAGUGGAAUUCCUGGUGUAGCGGUGAAAUGCGUAGAUAUCUGGAGGAACACCGGUGGCGAAGGCGGCAUCCUGGACCGACACUGACGCUGAGGAGCGAAAGCCAGGGGAGCAAACGGG